UAUGCUUAGAUUAAAACAGGAAACAAAGUUGAAGUAGAAAAAGAGAUUAAAAAAGAACAGUCCCUAGCGAAGGAUGAAGAAAAUUCCAAAGAUGAAGUUGAAAAUGAAGAAAUAGAUACUGCAGAGACAGAAACUGCAGAGGCAGAAACUACAGAAACUGCAUCAAAAGUACAGAGUAAUGGAUUUCCAGAAGACAUGCCAAGACCAGUGCCUCCAACCUGGAAUUCUGAGCUUGUAAGACAGCUGGUUGUUGUUGGAAAAAACUGCUCAAAAGUGGGCUUCUAACAGCAAAAGAAGAACAAUGGUGGCAUGAGUUGUCUGUUACUAAAAUACAGGGUGGUGAU
Molecule: long non-coding RNA, 344 nt
Organism: Mytilus californianus (California mussel)
Lineage: Eukaryota; Metazoa; Mollusca; Bivalvia; Mytilida; Mytilidae
Exons: 3
Source: RefSeq, a predicted model, not a curated record